AUACGGAGGAUGCAAGCGUUAUCCGGAUUUAUUGGGUUUAAAGGGUGCGUAGGCGGUUUGCUAAGCGGGAGGUGAAAUGCCGGCGCUCAACGUCGGAAGUGCCUCCCGAACUGGUGGACUUGAAUGACUCUGCCGUGGGAGGAAUGUGUAGCGUAGCGGUGAAAUGCUUAGAGAUUACACAGAACACCGAUUGCGAAGGCAUCUCACGAAGGGUUGAUUGACGCUGAGGCACGAAAGCGUGGGGAUCAAACAGGAUUAGAUACCCUGGUAGUCCACGCAGUAAACGAUGAUGGCUAACCGCUGGGCUUAUCAGUUCAGUGGCCAAGCGAAAGCGAUAAGCCAUCCACCUGGGGAGUACGACCGCAAGGUUGAAACUCAAAUGAAUUGACGGGG
Molecule: ribosomal RNA, 393 nt
Filed under: uncultured bacterium
Lineage: Bacteria
Description: partial 16S ribosomal RNA
Rfam family: Bacterial small subunit ribosomal RNA
Source: RNAcentral